Molecule: long non-coding RNA, 1149 nt
Filed under: Piliocolobus tephrosceles (Ugandan red Colobus)
Lineage: Eukaryota; Metazoa; Chordata; Mammalia; Primates; Cercopithecidae
Description: lncRNA (ENSPTEG00000018041.1)
Source: RNAcentral
AAACUCAGUUUUCAAUUUUAAUAAAAAGAAUGGAUACGCUAAAAUUUUGUCUUAUAAUAAAAAAAACAAAGUGGAAGGUAACAAAAAUAUAAAAAUUAUCAAAACACAAAUGCAGUAUGUUUUUAGCGCAAAAAUGAAAGAUUUAAUUGAGAUGCAAAAUGUUGUAAAAGAAAAAAUUAUAGGCACGACAAACAACUUAAGUAAUUAUGUGGACAAAGUAUUUGGUGAAUACCAUAAGAGUAUACAAAUGGAAAAUUACAAUGACGCAUCUGUUAUAUUACAAAAGAAUAGUGAAACAUGCGUAAAAAAAAAGGAAAAAAAAACUGAAAGGAUUUGUUCAAAAGAAAACAACACCAAAUACUUCAAACAAGACAAACAUACAUAUUCAAACUCACGUCCUGAACAAAACAGAAGUACAUGCUCCACUUCUCCUAGUAUAACAGCUCCUAAUAAUACUAGCUAUUUAAAAAAAAAAAAAAAAAAUAAAGUAAAAACAGAAAAACUGACAGAUGUUAUUCCCAUAACAAAACAUAACAAGAAUAAUAAAAAAAAUAUUUCAAAUAAACAUUUUUUAUUAUCUAAUAAAGACAAUGUAACUGACAUUGUAAAAAAUAUACACAUGCCUUUAGGAGAAAAAAAAAAUAUAUAUUUGAAAAUGGGCAACGGAACAGAAAAUAACGUAGAGCAUAAAAAAAUAGAAAGAAAUAAAAGAAAAAACAAAAAGGUCAGAAAAAAAAAUAAUAAAGAUUUAAUUUAUUAUGAAGUUGGAAAAGAUUAUCUGCAACAAACAGAACUUAUAAAAAUGACAAGUGAAUACAACGAAUCAUAUGAUAUUCUUUAUAGUAUGUAUUCUUCACUAUUGUCAAAAACAUACAUACCUUAAUUAACACAUAUAUUUUUUUUUUCUUUUUUACUAAAAACAAAAAAGCAAAAAAAAAGAAAAAACUCAGCAGAUUUUAAUGCACUCUUAUUUUUCUCCCCACUUGUUUUUGUACUCGCUCAUUUGUUCACUCUCAUUUACUAUUUUUUUUUUUCAAUUUUUGUUAUAACUUUUUUUUUUUUUUUUCUUUAAGCAAUGUCAAUAAUAAUUAUUUUAAAAGUUGUGCAUAGAUAAAGAACUAUAAUUAUUGAACUAAAUGGGAUAAAAAA